Molecule: ribosomal RNA, 455 nt
Filed under: uncultured bacterium
Lineage: Bacteria
Description: bacterial SSU rRNA
Rfam family: Bacterial small subunit ribosomal RNA
Source: RNAcentral
UACGGAAGGCAGCAGUGGAGAAUAUUGCACAAUGGGCGCAAGCCUGAUGCAGCCAUGCCGCGUGUAUGAAGAAGGCCUUCGGGUUGUAAAGUACUUUCAGUCGUGAGGAAGGUGUUAAGGUUAAUAACCUUAGCAAUUGACGUUAGCGACAGAAGAAGCACCGGCUAACUCCGUGCCAGCAGCCGCGGUAAUACGGAGGGUGCGAGCGUUAAUCGGAAUUACUGGGCGUAAAGGGCACGCAGGCGGUUAAUUAAGUUGGAUGUGAAAUCCCCGGGCUUAACCUGGGAAUGGCAUUCAAGACUGGUUAGCUAGAGUCUUGUAGAGGGGGUUAGAAUUCCAUGUGUAGCGGUGAAAUGCGUAGAGAUGUGGAGGAAUACCGGUGGCGAAGGCGGGCCCCUGGGACAAAGACUGACGCUCAUGUGCGAAAGCGUGGGGAGCAAACAGGAUUAGAUACC